This 407-nucleotide ribosomal RNA is filed under the name Verrucomicrobiota bacterium. RNAcentral describes it as "Verrucomicrobia bacterium partial 16S ribosomal RNA". It matches the Rfam family "Bacterial small subunit ribosomal RNA", at positions 355 to 776 of the family's 1533-position model. The record is from RNAcentral. Lineage: Bacteria; Pseudomonadati; Verrucomicrobiota.
UGGGGAAUAUUGGGCAAUGGGCGAAAGCCUGACCCAGCAACGCCGCGUGAGUGAUGAAGGCCUUCGGGUUGUAAAACUCUUUGGACAGGGACGAAGAAAGUGACGGUACCUGUAGAACAAGCCACGGCUAACUACGUGCCAGCAGCCGCGGUAAUACGUAGGUGGCGAGCGUUAUCCGGAUUUAUUGGGUUUAAAGGGAGUGUAGGCGGUUGGUUAAGCGUGUUGUGAAAUGUAGAUGCUCAACAUCUGACUUGCAGCGCGAACUGGCUGACUUGAGUACACACAACGUAGGCGGAAUUCAUGGUGUAGCGGUGAAAUGCUUAGAUAUCAUGAAGAACUCCGAUUGCGAAGGCAGCUUACGGGAGUGUUACUGACGCUUAAGCUCGAAGGUGCGGGUAUCGAACAGG